Molecule: long non-coding RNA, 841 nt
Organism: Oxyura jamaicensis (ruddy duck)
Lineage: Eukaryota; Metazoa; Chordata; Aves; Anseriformes; Anatidae
Exons: 3
Source: RefSeq, a predicted model, not a curated record
UUCCUGUCUGGACUUGGACUUAACAUAGUACUUUGUUGCUCAGGCAAUACCAACUUAAAAAUCAUUCUAUUUGUGUUCAUCCAAAAUUUUAAAAUAUGCAAGAUAAGAGCUUAGGCUUUGCAAGGACAUGGUAUUUCAUGAAAAAUUUGUUGCUGCCUCAUUGUAACUGGAUUGAAAUUAAUGGAAUUAACAGGAGAAUAAGCUUAUGCUUUAUGCCUCCUAUUCUAACCAGAGGGGUUCAGUUGUCAGUAGGUAAAUGCAAACUAUUUCUCUGUAUGUCUGGGUAGGUACACACAUCUACUUACACACACAUAUAUGCAGGUUAAUUUGCAAAUCAAUGGUGGUUUGGGAGAUUUUAUUUUUCCAUGCAAGGUAGUUUACUCAAUACUGUUUACAAUCUUGCUAUUUUGUUGUUAUAACACAAUUGUGCCAGCAGAUGAUAGAAACUUGCCUUGAAGCAGUGGGGGUCUGCUCAGCUGAAGACAACACAGAGGUGAGUAGAGGAUGCUGCCCUGCUGCCUUUCAUGUUUCUAAGUCCAUUCCUGAACCUAACUUGGAGUGUUCCAGGUCAGAUAUGAGGAUAUUUUUUUCCAGCCUUUUAGGAUCUGACCAUCAGAGUCAUCCCUGACUGAUGUUCCUUAAAUAUUUGAUUUCUUCAUAUUACCUACUGAACUGUAUUGCUGACAUGAUAAAACAGUUCCUUUGCCUUGUCUUUACAUAGGUGCUUUCUACAUGAAUAUAGCUUUAAUCUCUCUUCUGCAGUUGCCAAAUUUAUUAUUUUCUUAAAAAUGUAUUUGUAUGCUAGUUGCAAAUCAUUUCACUAUUUGUAUUUCAUUUUCCC